RNAcentral lists this long non-coding RNA (736 nucleotides) under Lathyrus oleraceus (garden pea). Its description in RNAcentral is "Pisum sativum (pea) long non-coding RNA (PSAT_LNC032088)". Lineage: Eukaryota; Viridiplantae; Streptophyta; Magnoliopsida; Fabales; Fabaceae. The record is from RNAcentral.
GCUUCCUUAAGCUUCUUAGUGUUGCUUCUUCUCGCUCUUAUCAUUCCACAGGGGUUUGCCAACUAUGAGAAACCUCCCGUCUAUCAACCACCAGUGUACAAUCCACCAAUCGAGAAGCCUCCAGUUUAUAAGCCACCAGUGUACAAGCCACCAGUUGAACACCCGCCAAUUUACAAGCCACCAGUUGAGAAACCACCUGUGUACAAGCCACCUGUGUACAAGCCUCCAGUCUACAAGCCACCUGUAGAGAAACCACCAGUUUAUCAGCCACCAGUUGAAAAGCCUCCGGUUUAUAAGCCACCUGUCUACAAACCACCCGUCGAGAAGCCUCCAGUUUAUAAGCCACCUGUCUACAAACCGCCCGUCGAGAAGCCUCCAGUUUACAAGCCUCCAGUUUAUAAGCCACCUGUCUACAAACCACCCGUCGAGAAGCCUCCAGUUUACAAGCCACCUGUGUAUAAGCCACCUGUCGAAAAGCCUCCGGUGUAUGAGCCACCAGUAGAGAAACCUCCGGUCUACAAGCCACCAGUUUAUAAACACCCUAUCUAUAAGCCACAUGUAGAAACACCUCCGGUUUAUAAGCCACCAGUUAGGGCGCCACCAUAUUACACACCUCCAUACUAGAAACCACCUCUCAAUCCAAGUACUUGUGUCUAGAAAAUACUAUUAAGAAUAUAUGUUAAAUAAGAGAGAGAUGUAAAGUUUAUAAAGCAAGGAAUAUAGAUAUUCUUGUAAU